CUCUUAAUUUGAGGCUUGAAUGAACGGUUGGACAUAAGGGAGACUGUCUGCGACUAGUUAGAGUGAAUUUAACUUUUAUGUGAAAAGGCAUUAAUAAAUUAAAGGGACGAUAAGACCCUAUAAAACUUGAUAAUUUGAUAGUAUGUCUUGUGAUGUGUGGUUAAGUUGAGGCUUAGUAAUUUUAUUUUGCUGGGGCGGCAGGAAUAAAAUUUGUAACUGUUCUUUAUAUGAAAUACUGAUAUGUAGAUAUUGAUCCUAAAAUUUGGUUUAAAAGAUAAAGUUACUUUAGGGAUAACAGCGUA
This 302-nucleotide ribosomal RNA is filed under the name Alpheus floridanus. Its description in RNAcentral is "partial 16S ribosomal RNA". Lineage: Eukaryota; Metazoa; Arthropoda; Malacostraca; Decapoda; Alpheidae. The record is from RNAcentral.